UAAAUUUAAGGUAAGACUAAAAUAUUAGUAAUCUAAUGAAAGAGUGCAACAACUUUUUUUAAGUAGAUUUUUUAGGAAUCAUUCCCUUUUAAUAGUAUUGAUUAGAGAAAUAUAUGGUAACAUAUUGUUAGUAUAAAUUUAAGGUAAGACUAAAAUAUUAGUAAUCUAAUGAAAGAGUGCAACAACUUUUUUUAAGUAGAUUUUUUAGGAAUCAUUCCCUUUUAAUAGUAUUGAUAUAAAUUUUAGAGUACUAUCUAUUUAAAUCAACUUUUUAAU
RNAcentral lists this long non-coding RNA (276 nucleotides) under Brassica napus (rape). RNAcentral's name for it is "long non-coding RNA (BNAP_LNC002029)". The record is from RNAcentral. Lineage: Eukaryota; Viridiplantae; Streptophyta; Magnoliopsida; Brassicales; Brassicaceae.